This 1854-nucleotide long non-coding RNA is filed under the name Pongo abelii (Sumatran orangutan). RNAcentral's name for it is "lincRNA". The record is from RNAcentral. Lineage: Eukaryota; Metazoa; Chordata; Mammalia; Primates; Hominidae.
AGGAAUAAUACUGCCUUUUCUUUCUGGCAUGGAUCAAGAGAAAAGAAAAUACAAGAAAACAGACAGAAGAUCCUAUCUGUGACAAUUAAGAGCACUCUAAGAGGAAAACACAUCCCACCACAGCAAGCUACAUCUAUAGAAGGGUGAGCCCUCACAGAUGGAGCAAUGGUGAGUGCACACCUGAACAAGGGAGGGGAAGGAGUUCUUAUCCCUGACGCAUGUGGCCCCUGCUGCUGUGUCGUUCUCCUAUUGGCUAAGGCUUCUGAUAGCUUUGGAGAUUGUGACAUUGGAAUACAGAAAAAACGUACAGGACUCAUGAAGAGCUGAAAUGUUCACAAAUAUCAAGCAAAAGUCAAUGACAUUUAUUUUGAGCUAUUUACAGCGUUUCAUAAUUGAGCAAGGUAUACUCCUAUGAACAAAAUUUGGAGCAUGUUUGUCUCUCUCUCUCUGCCUGGCAUCUUCAGAAUUUGGAAACUAGUUAGUCAAGGAAAUUUAUUUUGAGCUAUUUACAGCAUUUAAUAAUUGAGCAAGGUAUAUUCCUAUGAACAAAAUUUGGAGCAUGUUUGUCUCUGUCUGUCUGCCUGGCGUCUACAGAAUUUGGAAACUAGUUUCUUUCUCAGAUUUCCUAAACUUUCCAGAGAAAAUGGUCUUCUCCCUGGCUCAGCAAGAAGAUGAACUUUAAACACUGAGAAAGUCAUCAUCUCCCUGGCUCAACCAGAAGAUGAACUUUAAACACUAUUCUCAAUGACUCGAUGUUCCCAUCACUACUACUAUCAUAAAGGGAGGGGACCCAGAUACUGAGAAUUUUAUCAUAGUGUGAACUGUCUGGUAUGUCAUUUAAGUAAGCCCAUUGCUGAAAUAUUUUCCAUGUUAUUAGAAAGAGCUGAAGAGAGGGGUUGCAAUGGCUUCUUUAUUUUUUGUCUUUUGGGGAUUAAAGGAACCUGGUUCAACAAGGGCCUACACCUAAGUCUCUUGUUGUACCAGAGUACAAUUUAGGACUGCUCCUGAGAAGGAAUUAGCUAGAAAUCUAGAGAGUAAGGGUAACAGAUUUACAAUAGAAUAACAGCCUCAGUAUUUUUGGUUCCUCUCCAGUAACGAUCACAAAGAAUAUUGCUAAAUCGCUAAAACACCUUUGCAAUAACGUAAGUGCUUACAGCUAUAUACCAAUGUAGCUCAGUUACUAAACUGGAGUAAAAUAAUUUCUCUUGUGUAGAAAAAUUGGUUGGCUGUGGUUUUAUAGCAGAUUUGCAACUAUUAAUAGUUAUGCCAAUAAUCGUUUAACAGUGCAUAUGUUAAUAUAUAUGGAAAGACAAUGUGUAUAGACAGAUGUGUAAAAUUGAAAAAUAAACAUAUAACGAGAGAGAAACAUCUAUCGAACAGACAAUAUACAUACACGUCAAACACAACAGCAGUUUUAGUGACCAUAAUAUUUAUUUCUCAUUUUUACGUUGGUUACAUUAGUGACAACUGAAAAUGACAGUUGGCAAUGCAGCUAACAGUUUCAAUAAAAGUAUAAAACAAAAGACUGUGUACAAAGCACAUGUCUUUCUGCUUUUGUAAUCUUCCGUUGGAAAAAAUUUACACACCUAAGUAACCAUCUGUUUUCUUCAAGAAAAAAUCAUUCUUAUUUCCCUCUCUCAUCUUGAAAACAGCUGUCAGCCAGGAGGGCAGAGCUGAAAUUUAUUGUCACAUCACAUGAAGCAUAGAACAGACUCCACUACUCCUUAAGUUUCAAAACUUUGCCUCUCACAAAGUUACCUUUUAUUUUCCUCUUGUUUGUCACUCAUCUCCCCUACUGUGCUCUUUUUAUUUCUUUUACUAUUAAUAAUAAAGUUUGUGGAUGACUGUAUUAUU